UACGUAGGGUGCGAGCGUUGUCCGGAAUUAUUGGGCGUAAAGAGCUCGUAGGUGGCGUGUCGCGUCUGCCGUGAAAGCCCAUGGCUUAACUGUGGGUCUGCGGUGGAUACGGGCAGGCUGGAGGCUGGUAGGGGCAAGCGGAAUUCCUGGUGUAGCGGUGAAAUGCGCAGAUAUCAGGAGGAACACCGAUGGCGAAGGCAGGUCUCUGGGCCGAUACUGACGCUGAGGAGCGAAAGCGUGGGGAGCGAACAGG
Molecule: ribosomal RNA, 253 nt
Filed under: uncultured bacterium
Lineage: Bacteria
Description: partial 16S ribosomal RNA
Rfam family: Bacterial small subunit ribosomal RNA
Source: RNAcentral